RNAcentral lists this ribosomal RNA (253 nucleotides) under uncultured bacterium. RNAcentral describes it as "partial 16S ribosomal RNA". It matches the Rfam family "Bacterial small subunit ribosomal RNA", at positions 524 to 776 of the family's 1533-position model. The record is from RNAcentral.
UACGUAGGGGCCUAGCGUUGUCCGGAAUUAUUGGGCGUAAAGGGCGCGUAGGCGGCCAUGCGUGUCUUCCGUGAAAUCCCUCGGCUUAACUGAGGACGUGCGGAAGAAACUGCAAGGCUUGAGUCCGGGAGAGGGGGGUGGAAUUCCCAGUGUAGCGGUGAAAUGCGUAGAUAUUGGGAGGAACACCGGUGGCGAAGGCGGCCCCCUGGACCGGUACUGACGCUGAGGCGCGAAAGCGUGGGUAGCAAACGGG